This 230-nucleotide unclassified non-coding RNA is filed under the name Hevea brasiliensis (rubber tree). Lineage: Eukaryota; Viridiplantae; Streptophyta; Magnoliopsida; Malpighiales; Euphorbiaceae. The record is from RNAcentral.
UAUAAACAUCACUCUGACAAGUAUAGUUUCCCAAUUCAAGUUCAGGAGCACCAUAGCCGGAUCCUUGCAGCUGUCUUAUGGAAUCAGAUGACAUCAGAGGCGCCAAACCACAAUCUGACAUAUGUACAGCAAGUUCAUCAUCAAGGAGAACAUUACUGGACUUGAAGUUCAGGUGGACAAUAGGUGGUUGACAAACUUCAUGCAAGUACUCUAAUGCUCUUGCUGCUUGA